This 2300-nucleotide long non-coding RNA is filed under the name Homo sapiens (human). Its description in RNAcentral is "Pvt1 oncogene, transcript variant 16 (PVT1)". The stretch from base 34 to 211 matches the Rfam family "Pvt1 oncogene conserved region 1". Lineage: Eukaryota; Metazoa; Chordata; Mammalia; Primates; Hominidae. The record is from RNAcentral.
CCCGCGCUCCUCCGGGCAGAGCGCGUGUGGCGGCCGAGCACAUGGGCCCGCGGGCCGGGCGGGCUCGGGGCGGCCGGGACGAGGAGGGGCGACGACGAGCUGCGAGCAAAGAUGUGCCCCGGGACCCCCGGCACCUUCCAGUGGAUUUCCUUGCGGAAAGGAUGUUGGCGGUCCCUGUGACCUGUGGAGACACGGCCAGAUCUGCCCUCCAGCCUGAUCUUUUGGCCAGAAGGAGAUUAAAAAGAUGCCCCUCAAGAUGGCUGUGCCUGUCAGCUGCAUGGAGCUUCGUUCAAGUAUUUUCUGAGCCUGAUGGAUUUACAGUGAUCUUCAGUGGUCUGGGGAAUAACGCUGGUGGAACCAUGCACUGGAAUGACACACGCCCGGCACAUUUCAGGAUACUAAAAGUGGUUUUAAGGGAGGCUGUGGCUGAAUGCCUCAUGGAUUCUUACAGCUUGGAUGUCCAUGGGGGACGAAGGACUGCAGCUGGCUGAGAGGGUUGAGAUCUCUGUUUACUUAGAUCUCUGCCAACUUCCUUUGGGUCUCCCUAUGGAAUGUAAGACCCCGACUCUUCCUGGUGAAGCAUCUGAUGCACGUUCCAUCCGGCGCUCAGCUGGGCUUGAGCUGACCAUACUCCCUGGAGCCUUCUCCCGAGGUGCGCGGGUGACCUUGGCACAUACAGCCAUCAUGAUGGUACUUUAAGUGGAGGCUGAAUCAUCUCCCCUUUGAGCUGCUUGGCACGUGGCUCCCUUGGUGUUCCCCUUUUACUGCCAGGACACUGAGAUUUGGAGAGAGUCUCACUCUGUGGUCCAGGCUGAAGUACAGUGGCAUGAUCCCAGGUCACUGCAACCCCCACCUCCCGGGUUCAAGUGAUCCUCCUGCCUCAGCCUCCCGAGUAGCUGGUAUUACAGGCGUGUGCCACAAAGCCUGGCUAAGUUUUGUAUUUUUAGUAGAGACGGGGUUUCACCAUGUUGGCCAGGUUGGUCUCGAACUCCUGACCUCAAGUGAUCCACUCACUUUGGCCUUUCAACGUGCUGGGAUUACAGGCGAGAGUCACCGCACCCGGACGACUCUGACAUUUUUGAAGAGUCCAGAAUCCUGUUACACCUGGGAUUUAGGCACUUUCAAUCUGAAAAAAUACAUAUCCUUUCAGCACUCUGGACGGACUUGAGAACUGUCCUUACGUGACCUAAAGCUGGAGUAUUUUGAGAUUGGAGAAUUAAGGCCUUCAGUGGGUUGAAUGAGGCCCAACCCACAUUGAAGAGGACCAUCUGCUUUACUCAGUCUCCUGGUUGAAGUGAUAAUCUCAUCUGGACAUACUCAGAAAUGCUGUUUAACCAGCUCUCUGGAAAUCCUGUGGCCCAGUCAAGUUGACACACAAAAUUAACCAUCACACUGCAGAGACACAGUCUAUCCCAAUACCUGUAUUUACUGGAGUGUGGGCACCCUGGCUUCAAGCUCACGAGAAACCAGAAGGAAGUCACUGUGCAUAGCCAUCCCCUAAGAAGAGGGCAUUCCUGCUCUUCCUUCUCCAUGGCUAGAGGAUCUACAUGAACUAUUUAGAUUUUUUCUACCUGGGAGAUUUAACUCCUCUCUCCUAUUUAUUUAUUUAUAUAUCAGCAUGGACUUGCAGGCCAACAGAGAUUUUGAGAAACACAUUGAAGGAUCUGUUAACACUUGAUAUACCCAAUAAAAGCAGUGGUUGUGCCAGUGCUGAUCUGUCUUGAUGUGAAUGUGAACAAUGGGAACCUGAGCUGAGCAGUUAAUGCUAGGGUGACAGAAACUGGACCUCUCCCAAGACAUGUGACAGAGUAAUACAGCAGCCAACUUCUUCGCCAAAUUAAAGUUUUACAAGAUUUAACCUGUCAUCAAGACCUGGGAUUUUGGUGAAGGACAGAAUAACGGGCUCCCAGAUUCACAAGCCCCACCAAGAGGAUCACCCCAGGAACGCUUGGAGGCUGAGGAGUUCACUGAGGCUACUGCAUCUUGAGACUCAGGAUGAAGACCCAGCUUGGGGCUGUCAAAGGUUUUUUGCAUGUCUGACACCCAUGACUCCACCUGGACCUUAUGGCUCCACCCAGAAGCAAUUCAGCCCAACAGGAGGACAGCUUCAACCCAUUACGAUUUCAUCUCUGCCCCAACCACUCAGCAGCAAGCACCUGUUACCUGUCCACCCCCACCCCUUCCCCCAAACUGCCUUUGAAAAAUCCCUAACCUAUGAGCUUUGAAUAAGAUGAGUACGAACUUCAUCGCCCACGUGGCGUGGCCGGCCUCGUGUCUAUUAAAUUCUUUUUCUACUACAA